GGGCGAUUAGCUCAGCUGGUAGAGCGUCCGCUUGACGUGCGGGAUGUCAGCGGUUCAAGUCCGUUAUCGCCCACCA
This 76-nucleotide transfer RNA is filed under the name Oscillospiraceae bacterium. RNAcentral describes it as "tRNA-Val". It matches the Rfam family "tRNA". From Rfam's summary of the family: Transfer RNA (tRNA) molecules are approximately 80 nucleotides in length. Lineage: Bacteria; Bacillati; Bacillota; Clostridia; Eubacteriales; Oscillospiraceae. The record is from RNAcentral.